RNAcentral lists this ribosomal RNA (447 nucleotides) under uncultured Bacillota bacterium. Its description in RNAcentral is "bacterial SSU rRNA". It matches the Rfam family "Bacterial small subunit ribosomal RNA", at positions 356 to 795 of the family's 1533-position model. Lineage: Bacteria; Bacillati; Bacillota. The record is from RNAcentral.
GGGGAAUCUUCCGCAAUGGGCGAAAGCCUGAUGGAGCAACGCCGCGUGAGUGAAGAAGGUCUUAGGAUUGUAAAGCUCUGUCCUUAGGGAAGAACCGUGGGUAUAGUAAAUGCUACCCACCUGACGGUACCUUUGGAGGAAGCACUGGCUAACUACGUGCCAGCAGCCGCGGUAAUACGUAGAGUGCAAGCGUUGUCCGGAAUCAUUGGGCGUAAAGGGUACGCAGGCGGAUAUGCAAGUCAAAUGUGAAAACUACCGGCUUAACUGGUAGACUGCGUUUGAAACUGUAUAUCUUGAGUGCAGCAGAGGAGAGCGGAAUUUCUAGUGUAGUGGUGGAAUACGUAGAUAUUGGAAAGAACACCAGUGGCGAAGGCGACUCUCUGGGUUAACACUGACGCUGAGGUACGAAAGCUGGGGGAGCGAAAGGGAUUAGAUACCCCUGUAGUC